UACGUAGGGGGCAAGCGUUGUUCGGAAUUACUGGGCGUAAAGGGCUCGUAGGCGGCCAACUAAGUCGGAUGUGAAAUCCCCAGGCUUAACCUGGGAACUGCAUCCGAUACUGGAUGGCUUGAAUCCGGGAGAGGGAUGCAGAAUUCCAGGUGUAGCGGUGAAAUGCGUAGAUAUCUGGAGGAAUACCGGUGGCGAAGGCGGCAUCCUGGACCGGCAUUGACGCUGAGGCGCGAAAGCCAGGGGAGCAAACGGG
RNAcentral lists this ribosomal RNA (253 nucleotides) under uncultured bacterium. RNAcentral describes it as "partial 16S ribosomal RNA". It matches the Rfam family "Bacterial small subunit ribosomal RNA", at positions 524 to 776 of the family's 1533-position model. The record is from RNAcentral.